AUUGAACGCUGGCGGCAGGCCUAAUACAUGCAAGUCGAGCGGAUGAAGGGAGCUUGCUCCUGGAUUCAGCGGCGGACGGGUGAGUAAUGCCUAGGAAUCUGCCUGGUAGUGGGGGAUAACGUCCGGAAACGGGCGCUAAUACCGCAUACGUCCUGAGGGAGAAAGUGGGGGAUCUUCGGACCUCACGCUAUCAGAUGAGCCUAGGUCGGAUUAGCUAGUUGGUUGGGUAAAGGCCUACCAAGGCGACGAUCCGUAACUGGUCUGAGAGGAUGAUCAGUCACACUGGAACUGAGACACGGUCCAGACUCCUACGGGAGGCAGCAGUGGGGAAUAUUGGACAAUGGGCGAAAGCCUGAUCCAGCCAUGCCGCGUGUGUGAAGAAGGUCUUCGGAUUGUAAAGCACUUUAAGUUGGGAGGAAGGGCAGUAAGUUAAUACCUUGCUGUUUUGACGUUACCAACAGAAUAAGCACCGGCUAACUUCGUG
This 484-nucleotide ribosomal RNA is filed under the name uncultured bacterium. RNAcentral describes it as "partial 16S ribosomal RNA". It matches the Rfam family "Bacterial small subunit ribosomal RNA", at positions 30 to 507 of the family's 1533-position model. The record is from RNAcentral.